CUGGCCUUGGCAUCCAGAGAGCUUAGCAGAGAUGCUUUGGUGCCUUCGGGAACUCUGAGACAGGUGCUGCAUGGCUGUCGUCAGCUCGUGUUGUGAAAUGUUGGGUUAAGUCCCGCAACGAGCGCAACCCUUAUCCUUUGUUGCCAGCGGCUCGGCCGGGAACUCAAAGGAGACUGCCGGUGAUAAACCGGAGGAAGGUGGGGAUGACGUCAAGUCAUCAUGGCCCUUACGGCCAGGGCUACACACGUGCUACAAUGGCGCAUACAAAGAGAAGCGACCUCGCGAGAGCAAGCGGACCUCAUAAAGUGCGUCGUAGUCCGGAUUGGAGUCUGCAACUCGACUCCAUGAAGUCGGAAUCGCUAGUAAUCGUAGAUCAGAAUGCUACGGUGAAUA
Molecule: ribosomal RNA, 393 nt
Filed under: uncultured bacterium
Lineage: Bacteria
Description: bacterial SSU rRNA
Rfam family: Bacterial small subunit ribosomal RNA
Source: RNAcentral